UAGGGAACCUUGUAUAUGUUUAAAACACAUAAGAAACAGAGAUUUUUCUCUAAAUUUGCUGUUCUCAAUAAGGUAUCAGAGCACAUUCAAAUUUUUGGCGUGAAAUUUCUUGAACAGUACCUAGAUCUAGGGUUUUAUUAACGUCAUUACUUGGAGCGCCUCCUAUGAUGGGUGUUGGAGGUCACCACCUACCUCAAAUGGCAACCCACUCAUCGAUCGACACUUUCUUGGAGGAAGCGACGUCGUCUGGCCAUGCACGAGUACACGUGCCUUGUUUGUCCCUGGCGUCUCUCACAUGAGCCGACACGUGGGGCAUUUUCCGACGACCUUUUCCAGCUGAAUCCUCUUCCGACAGCCUCCCCCAUAUCUUGCAACCUUGUUCAACCUGUUACUCUUUGCUGGUUUGCUUUUGUUCAUUGGUUCAACCUUUUGUUUGAUACUGCUCCUGUGUGGAUUCUAUUGUUAGAACAAUUUUACCACUGUGUUUUUUUCU
Molecule: unclassified non-coding RNA, 493 nt
Filed under: Hevea brasiliensis (rubber tree)
Lineage: Eukaryota; Viridiplantae; Streptophyta; Magnoliopsida; Malpighiales; Euphorbiaceae
Source: RNAcentral